UGGUCUGUUGGAGUUACACCCAAACGCCACACAUGCAGACUGUUUCAUUUCCUGCGUGUUUGUGCGGCUGGCAUUCUUUGUCACUUUGGUUGUUCUUUUUUGUUUCCCCCUUUGUGACGUGGUUUUUAGACGUUACGAUGGUUAUAAUGUCACUGACAUGGUCUCCCCUGCUAGCUACCUGAUUAUUCCAGACCACUUCCUCAAACUUCAAGUCUUCCCUGUGUCCUCUUGUGCUCCCAGGCUUUUAGCAGAUUACAGGUAGAGAAGAGUGGGAUAAGUUGAGCCACGGGACAGGACUCCAUGAAAUGAUGACCUAUUCCUAAAUAUUUGGUCAAAUUAUUCAUUUACCCCACUCUCCGCUUAAUGGGAUGUCCCUCCCCUGGAGCCUCUGUCACUGAAAUAUGGAUGUCGUUUGAAGUACUGUAGCUGGCCCCAACACAGCCGACACAGAGAUCAUGCACGUAGUGAGUUUUUCAUUCGGCACUACUUUGCAGUUGCCAGGCAGGGUUUUUCAAGCCCGGCCCUGGGGACUAGAUGAUGACUAAUGGGACCGUGUUAAAGUGACCAGAAGAGGCAGCUGGCGAGGAUGAGAAGUAGUCAGGCCCUACACAUUAUCAGCCAAUCUGUCCUGAGCCAGACUAGGCGGGGG
RNAcentral lists this long non-coding RNA (649 nucleotides) under Salmo salar (Atlantic salmon). RNAcentral describes it as "lncRNA (ENSSSAG00000088636.1)". The record is from RNAcentral. Lineage: Eukaryota; Metazoa; Chordata; Actinopteri; Salmoniformes; Salmonidae.